RNAcentral lists this long non-coding RNA (1579 nucleotides) under Hordeum vulgare. Its description in RNAcentral is "long non-coding RNA (HVUL_LNC003868)". Lineage: Eukaryota; Viridiplantae; Streptophyta; Magnoliopsida; Poales; Poaceae. The record is from RNAcentral.
GGAUUCAACUGUCUUCUUAUUAAUAACUCAGAGUACAUCACAGAUACAACCAAGGUAGUUCCGCUACGGACUACAAAACAUGGAAAUGCUAUGCUACCCUGCCUGCAGGCCCACGAUCACGACCACGCCUCAGUCCUCUGGAUAGUUCACGUAGAGGCGGUCUGUCUCCUCGUCGUACUGCCACACCAGCUGGGUGCCGUCGGGAUCAUCUGUCUCUGGAGUACCUGUACCUGUUGGGAGUUUCAGAGGAAUCCGUGAGCCACGGGGACUCAGCAAUCUAAGACCUUGGUGCCAGAACUAGUCAUGUUAUUAGGUAGGGUAAGGGUGAGGUGUAUCAGGCUGCAGCAUCCUGAGCUUGAUUAAGUGGCUAACUUACGCAAAGUAGAAGUGAAGGUGGUCUACGCUAGCGGUCGGGAUUACUUGAUCACUAAGUGAUCCUGAACACCUACCUACGACAUUCAUAACCCCACCGUGUUCCCGAUCGAAGAGAGAUCUUCGAAGGGACAGCCACGGUUACACACAUAGUUGGCAGUUUUAUUGGUUUAUGUUUAAGUUCUCUAAUACCGGAUGUUAACAAAAUAUUCCAAGUUGCCACAUAACCGCGGGCACGGCUUUCCGAAAGAUUAAACCAUGCAGGGGUGCUCCAACUAGUCCAUCACAAACGAACACAGGCCACAAAGGCAUCCUCUAUCACGAAUCUCGUGAUCUCGUCGAAUUCCUUAGAGGAAAACCUCAACUCCGGGGAAACCAAAGCUUCACUGGGAUUCCUAUAUGCAAGAUAUACCGCUAAGGUAAGACAAGGCUAGCAGGACCUCCCGACGUGUCGACGACCCUGAUAAGAGCCGCGUAUCUCAGUCUCAGGACACGCCGGAUGAGCGAUGGUUACCACGCCAAAACACCGAGUUGCCCCGGGGAGCAUAAUAAGCUGCUCUGGGUUGGACCAACACUCAUGAGGAGCACUGGCCCGGGUUGUUGAUUAAAGUCCUCGGGGUAGCUACUCCCUAUGCAGAUUAUUAUUAAGUUAUUAGCAAAUUAACACCAAUGUUGGGUCCUGCCGGACAAGCUUAGCACUACGUGAUUUCUCAAGGGGGUCCCCAUAACAACCCCGAACGUGUUAGGAGCGAUCAUUAUGGAAUCAAACACCGGUAACCGGUAACUAAGGCGGCAAUAACGGAACAAAGCACCCGGCAAAAGGCUAGGCCUCCCGUCAUUUACCAAGUAUAUAGGUGCAUCAAUUAAGUAACAGAAUUUAAUAUAAUGAUAUCAAGCUCAUGUUAUCACAUGAGUCAAAGCACAUGCAUCUAGCAACACUAACAUUAGUAGCUGAGCAAAGCCUACUUAGCCAUACAAGUUUUGCUAGGAAGGGGAACAGUGUUUGGGUUCAUGGCAUAUCAAGAGGCAAUUUAAUUCAGUGGUAGGCAGCGAGCAAUAUGACAUGGAAACGAAACUAGCAUAACAAGUCUAGAGAUGGAAUCAAGGUCAUAUCAUCUUGCCUGUGAUAUCCUCAGCUUGGAAUGGUUCUGGUUCGUCCUGCACGUACUCUCCCGACUCCACGUAUUCGUUCUCCGAUCCCGGUGCU